UAAAAUUAUUUUAAAUAAUAUAUUAGAAAUGAAAUGUUAUUCGUUUUUAAAGGUAUCUAGUUCUUUAAGAAAUAAAUUUAAUUUAGAAAUUUUAUAAUUAUUUAAUUUAAUUUUUAAUUAUAUAAGUAUUUAAUUUUAAUAUUUUAUGGGAUAAGCUAUAAAAUAAAAUUUUAAAAAUUAAUAAAAUAAUUUAAUAAAUAUAAACUUAGAAAUAGUUAAUAUUAAUAAAAAUGUUAUAAUUUAUUUAAUUAAUUAUAUUAUUUAUUUUGUUUUAAAUUUUUAUUAAAGUAUUUAUUUUAAUUUUAAAAAUAAAAUAAUAAUGAUAAAAUUAGUAUAUAUAUAAUUGUUUAAAUAUAUUAAUAUGAAAAGUUUUUAUAAAGAAUUCGGCAAAAAUAAUGUUCGCCUGUUUAACAAAAACAUGUCUUUUUAGUUUAUUUAAAAAGUUUAACCUGCCCACUGAAAAUUUAAAUGGCCGCAGUAUUUUAACUGUGCAAAGGUAGCAUAAUCAUUAGUCUUUUAAUUGAAGGCUGGUAUGAAUGGUUGGACGAAAUAUUAACUGUUUCAUAAUAAAUUUUAUUUAGAAUUUUAUUUUUUAGUUAAAAAGCUAAAAUUUAUUUAAAAGACGAGAAGACCCUAUAAAUCUUUAUAUUUAAAUUAUAAUAAUAAUGAUUGAAAUUUUUUUAUUAUUUUAAUUGAUAAUAUUUUAUUGGGGUGAUAUUAAAAUUUACAAAACUUUUAAUUUUACUUAUCAUUAAUUUAUGAUUUAUUGAUCCAUUUUUAAUGAUUAAAAAAUUAAGUUACUUUAGGGAUAACAGCGUAAUUUUUUUGGAAAGUUCUUAUUGAUAAAAAAGAUUGCGACCUCGAUGUUGGAUUAAGAUAUAAUUUUAGGUGUAGUUGCUUAAAUUUUAAGUCUGU
Molecule: ribosomal RNA, 915 nt
Filed under: Phorinia breviata
Lineage: Eukaryota; Metazoa; Arthropoda; Insecta; Diptera; Tachinidae
Description: partial 16S rRNA
Source: RNAcentral